Molecule: ribosomal RNA, 253 nt
Filed under: uncultured bacterium
Lineage: Bacteria
Description: partial 16S ribosomal RNA
Rfam family: Bacterial small subunit ribosomal RNA
Source: RNAcentral
UACGUAGGGGGCAAGCGUUGUCCGGAUUUAUUGGGCGUAAAGAGCGUGUAGGCGGCCAUGCAGGUCCGCUGUGAAAACUCGAGGCUCAACCUCGAGACGUCGGUUGAAACCGUCUGGCUAGAGUCCGGAAGAGGAGAGUGGAAUUCCCGGUGUAGCGGUGAAAUGCGCAGAUAUCGGGAAGAACACCCGUGGCGAAGGCGGCUCUCUGGGACGGUACUGACGCUGAGACGCGAAAGCGUGGGGAGCGAACAGG